ACAGACAACCAUCGUACAGCUGACUGCAUCUCCCUCUCUGGAAAUGGCUCCGUUCUUAGUUUCAUUUUUGGCCAUGCGACCCGAUAGGAGUCCUCUCCCUCCUCAGCGUUUGUCCCCUUCUGAUAUUUCAUGCAACACGGAGAAAGGAGGAAGCAGAAUGCCGUGACAUUGAGGUUUAUUGCUGAUUCUGCUCACGUCGGUUGAAAUCAGUCACUAAACCUCAGCCGGCAGAACCCCGUGCGCUGUGUUUUUCUUGCCUAGGUAAUCGCGAUGGCAGCAGGGGGAGGCACUUUUCAUCUCCGAGUGUUCGCGAGUGAAGCCAAACCAUGCAGCUCUGCUCUCGGGGCUGCAAUUACCAACACUGUGCACACGGAAAGCGAAGCUAGAGCAGCACCAGCCAUAGCCGGUCGCUUGGGGAACACGUCCUGCGAGACAAGUGCAUGUCCCUGUGAUGUAGCGAGCUGGGGAGGUGCUCCCCUCCAAGGGCACAAAGCAUGGAUGAAGCUGCCUGUGCUACAGCUCCUUGACCUUGGUGUUAGAACCAAUGGUUUCGUGCUGUUCACCUUCCGAGCCCUCCUGGUGCCUGGGCACUAAGAGCCCAUGGAAUGAGGAUGGCUCCUCAGUGGUGAAGAACAGGAGGACCAGGUGGGCCAAUGGCUUGGUCAACACAGCUCUGGGCCGACAUAUCCUUUUGGAAGCUGCCAACUUGCCAGCAUGGCUUCUGGUUUCUGACUGCCCACUGCAGGACUUCUUUGCACACAUGGUUGUUGCGCUUCUUCCAUGUGUGCAUUGAACCUCCUGCCCCCCGCCAGCUUAGGCCAACUCUCUGCCAGAACAUAGAAUGAUGGAAUCAUUCAGGUUGGAAAGACUGAUAAGAUCAUCUAGUCCGACCAUCAGCUCGUGUGUGUGACUGCUGUACACCAUGCCACUCAGUGCCACACCUCCAUGGUUCUUGAACAUCUCCAGGGAUGGUGACCCCCCACCUCCCUGGGCAGCUGUGCCACUGCAUCACCACUCUGAGAAGAAAUUUUUCCUACAGCACUGAAUGCUGUGAUUCAUAAGGGCUCUCCCAUUCUGCUUCUCCCCCUAGGAGGCUCGUGCUGUAUUAUCCAGCAUCUAAAGCUAAGUGGAGUGAAAGCCCAAAAUCUAAUUUUGAAAAUAAUAAUAAAAGAAGAUUUAAUCAUGUGUCAUCUGUGCUCUAUGCCACUCCGGUGAAUCAUAACCCUUCGUUACCAGCGAGUUUCAUGGUUUAGGAUCCCAGUGCCAGCACAGAAACCCUGAGCCCAGCAGAUCACCGCAGCUUUGACCUGCUGCAAGGAUUUGGUCACCUCCGUGUGUCUCAGCUCCCAGCUGACCCGGUGCUUCGCUCUUUUAUUGUCUGUGCACAAUCUCUCCCACCGUGCCAAGAGUUCUGUAUUCUUCAUUUCUCUUCCGUCUCUGAUGCCACAAAGUCAAGUGAAUGUCUUCAAGGAAAUCUCAGUAAUAAAACCUAUUUCCUCCUCCCUGCUGC
Long non-coding RNA from Gallus gallus (chicken), 1510 nucleotides. NCBI's taxonomy places the organism in Eukaryota, Metazoa, Chordata, Aves, Galliformes, Phasianidae. The record is from Ensembl.